Molecule: unclassified non-coding RNA, 263 nt
Filed under: plant metagenome
Description: partial contains small subunit ribosomal RNA, internal transcribed spacer 1, and 5.8S ribosomal RNA
Source: RNAcentral
UCUCCGUAGGUGAACCAGCGGAAGGAUCAUUAUCGUACAACCGAGUCGCGAGCGCUGCUGUUGACCCGAAUAGACGUGCACGCCCGAGUCCCCUCACACACAUCCAUCUCACCCCUAUCUGCACCACCGCGCGGCUCCCCCUGUGGCUUGUUCGGUGGGGGGCUUACGUCUUCACGCAGACUUUGAAUGCCGUGCAGAAUGUAUUUUUUGUUUUUGCGCUCUCGCACUCAAUAAAACUUUCAACAACGGAUCUCUUGGCUCUG